Molecule: small nuclear RNA, 169 nt
Filed under: Plasmodium knowlesi strain H
Lineage: Eukaryota; Apicomplexa; Aconoidasida; Haemosporida; Plasmodiidae
Description: Plasmodium knowlesi snRNA PKNH_1432400
Rfam family: U1 spliceosomal RNA
About the family: U1 is a small nuclear RNA (snRNA) component of the spliceosome (involved in pre-mRNA splicing). Its 5' end forms complementary base pairs with the 5' splice junction, thus defining the 5' donor site of an intron.
Source: RNAcentral
AAAUUCAACUUACCUGGCUGUCGUUUGGGGUAGCUCACGAAUUACCCUGGCGUAGUUCGGAGCAGAGCAUUGCACUCAGCUGACUGUGAUGAGCUAUAGACUUUCCACAUGGAAGGUGCUAACAGCAAAAUUUUUGCCCGUGGCAUAUUUCAUCUUAUGAGUAUGCCAU